AAACUAAAUAUAGGUACAGGUGCCCGUAAGGGCUUCAUAGAAAAGCCGGUUGAAGACCGGCGCGGUCCCGCCACUGUAAUGGGGAGCAAAUCCAAGAUAUGCCACUGGAACGAAUCGUUCUGGGAAGGUUUGGAGGCGCAAUGAUCCUAAGCCAGGAGAACUGCCUGUACAACGAUCACCGU
This 182-nucleotide non-coding RNA is filed under the name Pelosinus fermentans. The record is from RNAcentral. Lineage: Bacteria; Bacillati; Bacillota; Negativicutes; Selenomonadales; Sporomusaceae.